Molecule: ribosomal RNA, 253 nt
Filed under: uncultured bacterium
Lineage: Bacteria
Description: partial 16S ribosomal RNA
Rfam family: Bacterial small subunit ribosomal RNA
Source: RNAcentral
GACGGAGGGUGCUAGCGUUGUUCGGAAUGACUGGGCGUAAAGGGCGCGUAGGCGGCCGCUUACGUCGGAUGUGAAAGCCCGGGGCUCAACCCCGGAACGGCAUCCGAUACGGGGCGGCUCGAGACCGAGAGAGGUGAGUGGAAUACCCAGUGUAGAGGUGAAAUUCGUAGAUAUUGGGUGGAACACCGGUGGCGAAAGCGGCUCACUGGCUCGGUUCUGACGCUGAGGCGCGAAAGCGUGGGGAGCAAACAGG